RNAcentral lists this ribosomal RNA (701 nucleotides) under uncultured archaeon. Its description in RNAcentral is "bacterial SSU rRNA". It matches the Rfam family "Archaeal small subunit ribosomal RNA", at positions 90 to 774 of the family's 1478-position model. The record is from RNAcentral.
UCAGUAACACGUGGCUAACCUACCCUUAGGACCGGAACAACCCCGGGAAACUGGGACUAAUUCCGGAUAAGUGAGGAGGCCUGGAAUGGUUUCUCACUAAAAGGGCGUUAGGAGCAUGCUUCCUUUCGUUGCCUAAGGAUGGGGCCGCGGCCGAUCAGGUUGUUGGUGAGGUAAAGGCUCACCAAGCCUAUAACCGGUACGGGCCAUGAGAGUGGGAGCCCGGAGAUGGGCACUGAGACAAGGGCCCAGGCCCUACGGGGCGCAGCAGUUGCGAAAACUCCGCAAUGCGCGAAAGCGUGACGGGGUUAACCCGAGUGCUAUCCGCUGAGGAUAGCUUUUUUCUGGUGUAAUGAGUCAGACGAAUAAGGGGAGGGCAAGACUGGUGUCAGCCGCCGCGGUAAUACCAGCUCCCCGAGUGGUAGGGACGAUUAUUGGGCUUAAAGCGUCCGUAGCUGGCUUGACAAGUCUUUCGUUAAAUCCAGCGACCUAAUCGUUGGGCUGCGGGAGAUACUAUCUAGCUUGGGGGCGGAAGAGGUCGACGGUACUCUCGGGGUAGGGGUGAAAUCCUAUAAUCCUGAGAAGACCACCAGAGGCGAAGGCGGUCGGCUAGAACGCGCUCGACGGUGAUGGACGAAAGCUGGGGUAGCAAACCGGAUUAGAUACCCGGGUAGUCCCAGCCGUAAACGAUGCGGGCUAGGUGU